CAUUUUCUUAUGCCUCUAAUAAAUAUAAGGUAUAACCUGCCCACUGAAUACAAUCUUAAAAGGCCGCGGUAAUUUGACCGUGCAAAGGUAGCAUAAUAAUUAGCUCUUUAAUUAGGAGCUCGUAUGAAUGGUUUAACAAGCAUUUAUUGUCUUAAAUAUAAAAUGAAAUUAAUUUUUAAGUAAAAAAUCUUAAAUGGUUUUAUUAGACGAUAAGACCCUAAAAAGCUUUUUAGAGAUAGCAAAAAUCUUAAUAAUACAUUAUAGAGAUAACUUGUCUAUUCUAUUUAGUUGGGGUGACUAGAAUUAUCUAUUUUAAACCACUUAAUAUACCUAGCCUAUAUACUAGCCCAAAGGAAUUUUCUAUAGUUUAAUAGUUAAGUUACUUUAGGGAUAACAGCGUAAUGAUCUUAGAGAGCCCAUAUCGAUAAGUAAGUUUGCG
This 439-nucleotide ribosomal RNA is filed under the name Allobathynella sp. 1 SJJ-2022b. RNAcentral describes it as "partial large subunit ribosomal RNA". It matches the Rfam family "Archaeal large subunit ribosomal RNA", at positions 1906 to 2591 of the family's 2987-position model. The record is from RNAcentral. Lineage: Eukaryota; Metazoa; Arthropoda; Malacostraca; Bathynellacea; Parabathynellidae.